UAAUGCAAUGGUCUUUAAGUACGUACAAACCUAGUCUUUUAUAUUUUAGAAUCGGAGGGUGAACUGUUUGAUUCUUUAAAUCUGACUAGUUCGCAAUUGGAGGAUUUAAUAGCUGAAACAGAUUGUCUUUUUGAGAAUAAAAAUCCUGCCUCAGCCAAAGAGUCCCCAGAAACAGAAUACUCGACGCCUCCAAAGAGCGGGUUUUCUUCCGAAGUUUCCAGUCAGCAUCUAGAAUCGGCGCAAAGGCUCUCGGACAGUCUAUUAUUGAACAUCUCAUUCACGCCGCCCGAACCAGCCUCUCCUGGCUUACUGACU
This is a long non-coding RNA of Polypterus senegalus (gray bichir), 315 nucleotides long. RefSeq lists it as uncharacterized. The record is from RefSeq and is a predicted model, not a curated record. The transcript has 3 exons. Lineage: Eukaryota; Metazoa; Chordata; Cladistia; Polypteriformes; Polypteridae.